This is a long non-coding RNA of Mus musculus (house mouse), 1183 nucleotides long. RefSeq annotates it as predicted gene, 33534. The record is from RefSeq and is a predicted model, not a curated record. The transcript is spliced from 2 exons. NCBI's taxonomy places the organism in Eukaryota, Metazoa, Chordata, Mammalia, Rodentia, Muridae.
AUCUAGCUUGGGUCCUCUGGAAGAGCACCAAGCACACUUAACCAGUGAACCAUCUCUCCAGCCCUCUGUUUUCUGAAUUUGCUCAUUGUGUUUAUUCAUCAAAUGCUCUUGACAUGCUAGACACACGUGCUGGGAUUUGAUCAUGAACAAAAUAGAAACGGGGUCUCUUCACGGAGCUUAUCGUGUGCAAAGAUGCUACUUGACUGAGUAGAGAAUCCUAUGUGACUAAACCUGGAAAGAUGACUGUUGGCUGGAAUGAUAAGCUUCUGGGCUGCAGAGAAUGAAUGGGGGAGAUGAGGUGCCUACAUAUCGUGUGGAGUGGGAAGGGAUGGACCCUUUGGCUGAAAGGUCAUGUGCUUUAUCAAGGAUAAGAAUGUGAGUGGAGGAGUUGAUCAGCCAGUACCGGCCUCAAGGGAAAAAUCCAGGUAUGCAAGAUGAUGCUUGCCGUAGAGUGAGCCGCAGAGCAGACUUGACUGUUAGACGUUCCAAGCAAGGGAGAGAUCGGUGUGAUGUUCCAGUUUCCUACCUAGGUCUUGAGUGACAGCUAACAUCACGUCAUUGAUAAGUGUUCAGUACAGACUGGUGUGGGGUCUUUUGACAUCCUCUAACUUGCCAUCCUCACAGCUGUUUGGGUACUCAGUUUCUGGAAGAUGAAACUAAGACUGCUCAUCCACCUUCUACUACUGGCAAACAACACACUUUUUAAUCCCUUCAAUUGCUGUGGGAAAUUUCCUUUUCAACCGAGAACUAUUAACCACCUGUUGUGCAUUAGCAAACCUCAAGUCCAUUUAUUGGUUUGAAAUUAAGCUCCACUCAUCUGAUUUCAAGUAACAAGCUGAGGAGAAACUCCGUGGGAAAAAAAAAAAUAGACUGAGCUCAAAUAUACAUCUCAGCUGUUACCUGUAAGGCAGGGGAAAUCUGAAGCAUCUUGGACAUCUGUCAGGACUGCAGAACUAAAACCAGCUGCAGUGACAGAUGCUGUGUAGCUCCAAUGAGCAAGAUUGAGAACUUUUUUCUUCUUUCGCUAAUUAAAUAUUCCUAGAGUUGAUUACUAAUAAUGUUUAUCACUAAAAAAUCCAAUUAGAAUGUUUUUGUUAAAGUGUUGUUGUUGUUGUUGUUGUUGUUGUUUAAAUCAAACAGUGUAACCCUUUUUAAAGACUCAAAAUAGGGGUUAAAGAGAUGA